Molecule: ribosomal RNA, 489 nt
Filed under: Babesia sp.
Lineage: Eukaryota; Apicomplexa; Aconoidasida; Piroplasmida; Babesiidae
Description: SSU rRNA
Rfam family: Eukaryotic small subunit ribosomal RNA
Source: RNAcentral
UUUGUUAAAUGAAUGAUGGGAAUUUAAACCUCUUCCAGAGUAUCAAUUGGAGGGCAAGUCUGGUGCCAGCAGCCGCGGUAAUUCCAGCUCCAAUAGCGUAUAUUAAAAUUGUUGCAGUUAAAAAGCUCGUAGUUGAAUUUCUGCUGCAUUGCUUGUGUCCCUCUGGGGUCUGUGCAUGUGGCUUUUUUCGGACGGAGUUUCUUUGUCUGAAUGUUUACUUUGAGAAAAUUAGAGUGCUCAAAGCAGGCUUUCGCCUUGAAUAGUUUAGCAUGGAAUAAUAAAGUAGGACUUUGGUUCUAUUUUGUUGGUUUUAGGUACCAAAGUAAUGGUUAAUAGGAACAGUUGGGGGCAUUCGUAUUUAACUGUCAGAGGUGAAAUUCUUAGAUUUGUUAAAGACGAACUACUGCGAAAGCAUUUGCCAAGGAUGUUUUCAUUAAUCAAGAACGAAAGUUAGGGGAUCGAAGACGAUCAGAUACCGUCGUAGUCCUA